UGUUGUGGGUGAACAGUGCUAGCUUGAUUCAUCAAUCAAUGUUUAUGAUGAUAUUAUUAGUGGACAUCCUAUGAUGAUCUCUUCUAUUUGUUCAUGGUGCUAUGUGAAGUAAACUAGGCUUUCUAGGAGCCUUCUGAGUCAUUAGAUAGGAACAGUAACUGCAAUUGUUAUUCAGGCUAAUUUGGAUUCACUGCACACUACGUGAUGGAGAAAGACUUACAAAGGGCUCAGGGGGAAGAAGUUAGUGAGAGAGGUUUGCCUCUUGUCCAUGAAACUGGAGAUGAUCUUCAGGUUACUUAUCAGGAAGUGGAAGGAACAAGAGAACUCAACUAUCAGCAGUCCAUAGAAGUUCAGCAUGUUACUCAUCAUCAGACAAUUGAAACAGAACAUCUCCAACAGCGAUCAGUUGAUGUUCAGCAGGUUCAACAGUUUUCUUCCCAACAUUCUUAUGAAGCACAAAAUAUUACCCACAAGCAUUCAUUUAGUAGAGAGGAAAAUUCUCAACAGCAGUCAUAUAGCAUACAAGAUGGAGUUAUUCAUCAUCUUGAUGAAGCAGAUCAAAAUCAGAUUAUUCACCAACAGUUAGUUGAGGUUCAGCAAAUUACUCAGCCCAUUGAAAAAAAUCAAAUUAUUGAUGCUGUCCUUACUUCUCAGAGUCCCCAAGAAGGAAAGCAGAUUCCUCAAGCAGGAUUGCUUAUUGUAAAGCACACUACUACUGAACAGGUUUCAGGGGGGAUACAAUGUACAGUUGAUAGUCAGAAAAGCUUUCAAUUAGAGUACAAUACUCAAGAAAAACAAAUUGAUCAUGGCAACUCCACCAUUAUCAGUGGAAAACAGACUGAUGAUGAGAAAGAUGGCUCAUGGCAUGAUGCUUUGAAAGGUGCCUGGGAGCAAAGCUUUGGUCAGAUUGGUGGCAGUGAACAGAUAUUGGACAAGUAUGGGAAAGAAAUGUCAGUUGAAAAAAUAUGUGGCACUGUCACAAAUAGAAAAGAAGAUGCAAACAAUGCAGAAUUUACUGAAGACAAGCAGUAUAAUUUUGAUGGUAAAGAUGUUGCUGAUGGAGAUUCAGAAAAUCCUUUUCGAGAAACCUGUCAAGGAACAGAGUGGAAGGAAAGUAUUACACAGUGGGAGGAUUCAGCCACAGAGAGUAUUACAGCUGGAAAAGUCCGAGAGGGGUUUACUAGGACGUCUGGAAGAUCAGCUUCACAGUCAUCUAGUGAAUGUUCUUUAGAUGCUAUGAGCUCUCCCAAAAGUUGUGACAAAGGUGCAGUUUUUAAGUUUUCACACUGGACACCUGGUCGAACUCAGUCUGUCCGUCAAAUCAAGGUUCGUACGCAAGAUGUUCGUCGGACAACAAGUGUUGGAGGGGAAAAUGAACCUUGGUAUUCUACAAUGGAACAUCAUAUCAGAGUCUUAAAAGAUGAGAGAGAGAGCGUGCAGAAGAAGACUUUCAUGAAAUGGGUGAAUUCCCACCUGGUACGAGUGAACGCACGUAUAGGAGACCUAUAUGUGGACUUACGAGAUGGAAAGCAGCUCAUCAAACUCCUGGAAAUUCUUUCAGGAGAGAGAUUGCCACGACCGACCAAAGGAAAGAUGCGAAUUCACUGCUUGGAAAAUGUAGACAAAGCUCUUCAGUUCCUUCGUGAUCAGCGAGUCCACUUGGAGAACAUGGGUUCCCAUGAUAUUGUGGAUGGCAAUGCUCGCCUCACACUUGGUCUUAUCUGGACUAUCAUCCUUCGCUUCCAGAUCCAAGACAUCACCAUUGAAGAGACUGAGAACCAAGAGACCAAGAGUGCUAAGGAUGCUUUACUCCUCUGGUGCCAGAUGAAGACAGCUGGUUAUCAUAAUGUUAACAUCAGGAACUUUACCACCUCAUGGAGGGAUGGUUUAGCCUUCAAUGCUAUCAUUCACAAGCACAGGCCUGACUUGAUUCAGUAUGAGAAAUUGUCACGGUCAAAUGCAAUGUACAACCUCAAUAAUGCCUUCAAUGUUGCAGAAAACAAGUUAGGUCUCACCAAACUGUUGGAUGCAGAGGAUGUCUUUGUUGAACAGCCUGAUGAGAAGUCAAUUAUCACCUAUGUUGUCACCUACUACCACUACUUCUCCAAACUCAAGCAGGAGACAGUCCAGGGCAAACGUAUUGGCAAGGUUGUAGGUAUUGCAAUGGAGAAUGACAGAAUGAUUAGGGAAUAUGAGAGUCUUACAUCAGAUUUACUGAAGUGGAUUGAAGUCACUAUUGAAUCCCUAAAUGACAGAGUUUUCACCAACUCGCUUACUGGUGUACAAACGCAGCUCACACAAUUCAAUACUUACCGCACUGUGGAGAAACCACCAAAAUUCGUUGAGAAGGGCAACCUGGAGGUGCUGCUCUUCACUCUCCAAUCCAAAAUGAGAGCCAAUAACCAGAAACCCUAUUUGCCAAAGGAGGGCAAGAUGAUUAGUGACAUCAACAAGGCCUGGGAACGCCUGGAGAAGGCUGAGCAUGAACGUGAGUUGGCAUUGAGAGAGGAACUCAUUCGUCAAGAGAAGCUUGCACAACUUGCUGCUAGGUUCAACCGUAAGGCUGGCAUGAGAGAGACCUGGUUGUCUGAGAACCAGAGAUUGGUUUCCCAGGAUAACUUUGGUUUUGAUCUGGCUGCUGUUGAAGCUGCAGCAAAGAAGCACGAAGCCAUUGAGACAGACAUAUUUGCUUAUGAGGAGCGUGUACAGGCAGUAGUCUCAGUUGCUAAUGAGCUAGAAGCAGAACGUUAUCAUGAUAUCGAACGUAUCAAUGCUAGGAAAGACAACGUGCUACGCCUCUGGAACUACCUGCUUGAGCUUCUCAGGCUGCGCCGUAUGAGGCUUGAACUGUCUCUACAAUUGCAACAGAACUUCCAGGAAAUGAUGUAUAUCUUGGACUCCAUGGAAGACAUGAAGCUCCGUCUCCUGAGUGAAGACUAUGGAAAACAUCUCAUGGGUGUGGAGGACUUGUUACAGAAGCACUCUCUGCUGGAGGCUGACAUCAAUGUCUUGGGUGAACGUGUCAAGACAGUAAUUGAACAUUCUCAGCGGUUCCUUGAUGAUGAACAGGUUGAAGGAUAUCGUCCAUGUGACCCAUCUAUUGUGCUGGAGCGUGUGCAGCAACUCGAAGAUGCAUAUGGUGAGCUUGUCAAGUUGGCUGUUGAGAGGCGUCUCCGCCUGGAAGAGUCACGCAAGUUGUGGCAGUUCUACUGGGACAUGGCAGAGGAAGAGAACUGGAUCAAGGAGAAAGAACAGAUUCUCUCCACCUCAGACAUUGGGCAUGAUCUCAUUACUGUAAACUUGCUCUUGACCAAACACAAAACAGUUGAAGAAGAGUUGUUGUCACAUGAUCCACAACUCAAGGCAGUUGUCAAGAGUGGAGAAGAGCUUAUUGCUCAGCAACACUUUGGCUCUGAUAAGAUUCAGGAAAGAAUUGAUGAAAUUAUGACCAUGUGGACUACCCUUACAGAGAGAUCAGCCAACCGUAAGAAGAGGCUGACCGAUGCUGUAGACCUGCAUCAAUUCUACACAGAAGCCGAUGAUGUUGAUACCUGGAUGUUGGAUAUUUUGCGACUGGUAUCAAGUGAAGAUACUGGCAGGGAUGAAGCCACUGUGCAGUCUCUCUUGAAGAAACACAAGGAUGUUACUGAUGAGCUGAAGAACUAUGCUAGCACAAUUGAACAGUUGCACCAACAGGCAUCAGAGCUCAAUGAGGUUGACAGAGAAUCACCUGUGGUCAUCGAAAGAUUGGCAUCGAUUGAUCGUAGAUACAAAGAAUUGCUUGAACUGGCUAAGGUGCGCAAGCAGAGAUUGCUGGAUGCUCUGUCACUAUAUAAAUUGUUCACAGAGGCAGAUGGUGUUGAACAAUGGAUUGCAGAAAAGGAGCGUAUGCUUCUUACCAUGGUGCCAGCUAAGGACAUUGAAGACUGUGAGAUCAUGAAGCACAGAUAUGAAGGAUUUGAACAAGAAAUGAAUGCCAAUGCUAGUCGAGUAGCAGUUGUGAACCAGCUGGCUCGUCAGUUGUUGCACGUUGAGCAUCCUAACUCAGAGGACAUCAUUGCCCGUCAGAACCAGCUAAACCAACGGUGGGCCGAGCUCAGAGAAAAGGCAGAAAGCAAGCGUGAAGAACUCAGCUCUGCCCAUGGUGUUCAAACAUUCCAUAUUGAAUGUAGAGAAACAGUUCUUUGGAUUGAAGAUAAGAAACGUGUGUUGAUGGAAACUGCCGACCUAGGCACAGAUCUCAGUGGCAUCAUGACACUCCAGCGUCGUCUCUCUGGCAUGGAAAGAGACCUGGCAGCUAUUCAGGCUAAACUUGAUGCCCUUGAAAGUGAAGCAGAUAAGAUCAGCCAAGAUCAUCCAGAAGAGGCUGAACUCAUCCGUGAGCGCAUUGAACAGAUCCGUUCAGUGUGGGACCAACUCACUCAGCUUCUCAAGGAGCGUGAUGCUAAACUUGAAGAGGCUGGUGAUCUUCAUCGCUUCUUGAGAGAUUUGGACCACUUCCAGUCAUGGUUAACCAAGACAAUGACAGAUGUGGCAUCAGAAGAUAUUCCUUCAAAUCUUGCAGAAGCAGAGAAGCUGCUGAGCCAGCACCAGUCCAUUCGCGAGGAGAUUGAUAAUUACACAGAAGACUAUAUUAAGAUGAUGGAGUAUGGUGAACGUAUUACAGCAGAAGAUGUUACGCCAGCAGAUGAUGCACAGUACAUGUUCUUGAGAGAGAGACUGAAGGCCCUCAAGGAUGGAUGGGCAGAGUUGCACCAGAUGUGGGAGAACAGACAGGAACUUCUGUCACAGUCCCUUAACUUACAGAUGUUCUUGCGUGAUGCCAAACAGGGAGAGGUUCUCCUCAGUCAACAGGAACAUUACCUUAGCAAGGAUGAGACUCCAACCAAUUUGGAACAGGCAGAGAACCUUAUCAAGAGGCAUGAGGCAUUCCUUACUACCAUGGAAGCUAAUGAUGAGAAGAUCAAUGGCAUCUGCCAGUUUGCUCAGAGAUUACUUGAUGAAGAACAUUUUGCUGCUGACAAAAUUCAGAAAAAGGCAGAAAAUAUUGAAGAACGCCGACAGCAGAAUAGAGAUCGCGCCAUGGAACAGAUGGAACGCCUACGGGACCAACUCCAAGUCCAUCAGUUCCUUCAAGAUUGCGAAGAACUUAAUGAUUGGGUACAAGAAAAACAUAUCAUUGCUCAAGAUGAGAGCUACCGAUCAGCUAAGACAGUUCACAGUAAAUGGACCCGACACCAGGCCUUCGAAGCAGAAAUUGCUAGUAACAAAGACAGAUUGGUUAGAGUACAAGAAGCUGGAGAAGUGUUGGUAAAAGAGAAGCCCGAAAUGGCUGAACUAAUUGGACCAAAGAUAUCGGAAUUAAAUCAACACUUUGAUGCCCUAGAAACCACCACUAAAGAAAAGGGAGAACGACUCUUUGAUGCUAACAGACAGGUGCUUUAUGAACAGACAUGUGAUGACAUUGACACCUGGAUGACAGAUCUUGAGAAGCAGAUUGAAGGUGGAGACACUGGAAUGGAUCUGACAUCUGUAAACAUUCUUAUGCAGAAGCAACAAAUGAUUGAGACACAGAUGGCUGUUAAGGCCAAGCAGGUUGAACAACUGGAGAGCCAGGCAGACUACCUGCAGCGCAUGACACCUGAGAAGACAGAGGAAAUCAAACACAUGAAGUCAAAAGUGGAAGCCAAAUUUGAGUCCCUUAAAGCUCCUCUUGUUGAACGCAAUGUGUUGUUAGCCAAGAAGAAAGAGGCAUACCAGUUCAGGAGAGAUGUUGAGGAUGAGAAGCUCUGGAUUUUAGAGAAAAUGCCUCUAGCAACAAGCCCUGAUUAUGGCAACUCCCUGUUCACCGUCCACAUGCUAAAGAAGAAACUCCAGUCCCUUAGUACAGAGAUUGAUAACCACGAACCUAGAAUUAAUUUAGUCUGUGACAAUGGUAGGAAGCUCAUUGAAGAGGGACAUGUGGAUGCUGAAGAAUUCCAGAAACUGCUUGAGGAUCUGCUCGAUCACUGGACCAAACUCAAAGAUGCUAUGGAACACAGGCGAUCGAAACUCCUGGUGUCUGAGAAAGCACAACAGUACCUCUUUGAUGCAGGUGAAGCUGAGGUAUGGAUGAGUGAGCAAGAGUUAUACAUGAUGGUAGAGGACAGAGGCAAGGAUGAAAUCUCCGCACAGAACCUGAUGAAGAAACACCAAACUCUAGAAAACUCUGUUGAUGACUAUGCUGAGACGAUAAGACAACUAGGAGAGACAGCUAGACAUCUCAUCAAUGAAGGCCAUCCUGACAGUGAACAGAUUGGUAUCCGACAAUCCCAAAUUGAUAAGUUGUAUGCAGGACUGAGAGAUCUGGCAGUUGAGCGCCGUAGUAAGUUGGAUGAAGCUCUCAAAUUGUUCAUGCUUAACCGUGAGGUUGAUGACUUGGAACAAUGGAUUGCUGAGAGGGAAGUGGUUGCAGGAUCUCAUGAACUUGGACAAGAUUAUGAACAUGUCACGAUGCUACGAGACAGAUUUAAGGAAUUCGCUCGUGAUACAGAGGCAACUGGAACAGAACGUGUUGCAGCUGUUAACGAGAUUGCUGAUCAGCUCAUAUCAGCUGGCCAUUCUGAUGCAGCAACGAUAGCAGAAUGGAAGGAUGGCUUGAAUGAAUCUUGGGCUGACCUCCUAGAGUUGAUUGAGACACGCACCCAGAUGUUGGCAGCUUCAUGGGAACUCCACAAAUUCUUCCAUGAUUGCAAGGAUGUUCUUAGCCGAAUUUUGGAGAAACAGAACAGUAUCUCGGAUGAGCUUGGGCGUGAUGCAGGUUCAGUAUCUGCACUACAGAGGAAACAUCAGAACUUUGUGCAGGAUCUGGUCAUGUUGAAACAACAGGUGGAACAAAUUCAAGAAGACUCAUCCAAGCUCCAAGCUGCUUAUGCUGGUGAUAAGGCGAGAGAGAUUACAAACAGAGAAGCUGAGGUUGUGUCUGCAUGGUUGAACAUGCAAGGAAUGUGUGAGGAUCGUCGUAUCAAACUCAACGACACUAGUGACUUGUUCAAAUUCUUCAAUAUGGUGCGCACACUUAUCCUCUGGAUGGAUGAUGUUAUUCGGCAGAUGAACACUACAGAAAAGCCAAGGGAUGUUAGUGGUGUAGAAUUACUAAUGAAUAACCAUCAGAGCCUGAAAGCGGAAAUUGACGCUCGAGAAGACAACUUCAAUGUGUGUGUGUCACUCGGAAAAGAACUUCUCUCUCGCAACCACUAUGCUUCAGGAGAGAUUAAAGACAAGUUGAUGUCUUUGAGUAACCAGCGCAACAACAUGCUUCAGCGCUGGGAGGAACGAUGGGAACAUUUGCAGCUCAUUCUGGAGGUGUACCAGUUUGCUCGUGAUGCUUCAGUUGCUGAACAGUGGCUAAUGGCACAGGAACCAUACCUAACUUCGACAGAACUUGGAGUAAGUUCUAUUGAUGAACUUAUGAAUUGGUUGAUGAUGAGGUCAAUUGAUGAUGUGGAAAAUCUCAUCAAAAAGCACGAAGCCUUUGAGAAGGCGUGUUCAGCUCAGGAGGAACGGUUUGCUGCGCUUGAGAGGUUAACAACGCUAGAAGCCAUAGCAAAAACAGAUUCUCCGAAGCCAUCAGAUGCCUUGGGUGAUGGGAGUAGCAUAGAAGUUCUUCCUUCAUUCAACUGUUUCAUCUCCCUUCCUCCCUAUUCCCCAAGACCACCCAACAUGCGUCGUCAUUCCUUACCCACCCCUGUACAUGCUUUCUUUACAGCAUUUUCAUGUCCUGCACUCACAGAAAUACAAGCCAACAGACACAGCUUUCCAAUUAGAUUGUCGUCUGAGAUUUCAUUAGUUAAGAUGUAUCCUAAAGGAUCUUUGAAGCGUCAUAGAAAGAGACUGAAUUCAAGCUCAAACCCACAACUCUCUCAGACCAUCCACAUAAAAGAUUCACACACUGAUAACCUCUUUGCAGAAAUGCGUAAUCAGAGAUGUAGUUAUUACAUAGACAGACCUGUUAGUGAUCCAGUGGAGAAUUCAGUGAUGAUUAGUUCAAAAGUGUCAUCAGUUGACAGCCCAUUCACCUCUCCAAGUGUCGGUAAUGAUAGAAAUGAUAAGAAAUCAGAUGGUAUGAUUUUACUAGAGGAACCACAAAAAGACUGGGAUUGUAAAUCAUCAAGUUCAGUUGGCGAGUUUGUAAGUCUAGAUCAUUAUGAAGCUCCCUAUCUAGAAGAGUCUUUGUAUAGAAUAACAGAAUUUUGCUUCUCUGAAAAGAAUGAACAUCAGGAUGUUGGUUUUGAAUGUACUGAUAAUGUUGUUUUAAGGGUGCCUGAAGAUGACAGUGGAGGUGAAAAUUGUCAGAGAAUAGGGAGAAGUCAGGUAUACAGUUUUGCUGAUAAUGUGAGAGAUAGCACAACCCUUCCUCCAAUAUAUGAAAUGGAGGGGGAAGGCCUUGAUGUCACAGAACUUAGCAACCCUUCUGGUUCUGUAGAGUUUUGGAGUUAUGAAAGUCUCUUAGAUGAUAAAACAGAUAUAGUUAAUAAUUCCACUGAUGCCCUAAGGAAUUCAGAGAGAGAAAAGGUUUUGUCCCAUGCUCAGUAUUGUGGAGAUAAUGAUUCCAUAAUGAGUUAUUAUCCAGUUAUUCCUUGUAAUGGCUUAAAAGACACAGUGCGUAAUGUGGACCAUCUUGUAGCUAGGCUAGAUGGUGUCUCUGUACAGGGGUGCCCCUCUCCUGCAUCUCCUUUUCCUCUAACACCUCCUAACACUUGUGAUUCCUCUCCUAAACUCACUAAUGGUAAACACACUCCAAGAAAUAACCUGCAUGCACUCUCUCAGGUGAAGUUUGAGUUGAAAGAACUCAAGAGGAAAGAAGAGGAGGAGGAGGAAGAACGACGAAGACAAGAGGAGUUGGCAAGACAAGCAGCUGCUCCUCCUCCUCAGUCACCUGACCAACCAACAGAUGGAAUUGAUGGUGCAGGAGAUGACUCACAUGUUAAUGGUGAAGAGCACGAUGAAUCACGAGAAGAGCAUGAAGAGGGUGCUGCAGUGAAGGGGGGAAGUGCACCUGGCACCCCUCGGCCCCCCUCCACUCCCGUCACCCCGACCCCAACAGCGGCUGCAGUCAGAGCCCGUCCGGGCUCGGCAACUCUCCCACCCAAGUCGUCGAUUUCACCCCUCGCCUCGAAACGGCCGAGUCCCAGUGGAGACGAAGAUCAGCUGGAAGGCAGUCUGGUUCGCAAGCAUGAAUGGGAGUCCACUACAAAGAAGGCAUCCAACAGGUCCUGGGAUAAGGUAUUUGUGGUGCUACGUGGCAACAUGAUUUUCUUCUAUAAAGACCGCAAGAGUUACCAGGCUGCCCCAGAAGUUUUCUUCAGAGCGGAAGCCCCUGUUGAUGUCUCUGGGGGAACAGCAUCUGUGGCAGAUGACUACACAAAGAAGAAGCAUGUCAUGCGACUCAAGCUUGUUGGUGGUGCUGAGUACCUGUUCCAAGCCAAAGAUGAAGAGGAGUUGGCAGUAUGGGUAGGAGCUCUUCAAGUUGCAGUAUCCUCUGAAGGAUCAGCUGGGCCUUCUCGCUCUCAGACAUUGCCUGCUGGCUCAGAGAAGAAAGACGAGCCAAAACGUCGCAGCUUCUUCACCCUCAAGAAGAAAUAAAUAAACUCUAAAAUUUGCCCCUCCUACUUUCCCCAUCCCAGAUGUAUAUCUCCCCUCCCCUCAUCUCGUUUCACUCACUCUUCCCCAUGUGAUCUUCUCUCCCUCUACAUCCUCUUAAGGAAACAUUAACCCCCCCCUCUCCCUUUUGCCCUCCAAAAGCAACUAUCCUAGAUCCUCCCGAGCCUAAUUUUGGACCCAGUGUGACACUUAUACUUGUGGGAGUUAGAAAGCUAGCGCUGGUUGGGUACAUGUUGUUGGCUGCUGUCUUUAAAUGCCGCUGGGAUUGGAAAGGAAAAACAAAAUCUGCUAUAUAAGCCAUCAUAAGCUUCUCUUUAUGCAGUAACUCCCAGGCUGGGUCUGAAUAGUCACAUGAUUAGGACUUGUUCUUAAUAUAUAUUUUUUUGUGCAUAUUUCCCCUCCCCCCCCUCUAUCUCCCUCUUUUAACAUACCUUUCCCUUUGCUGGGAUUUGAGUUGUGUAGAUGGUACCAUACAUGGUAUUACUGUUAUUAUUUUUUUUCCCCUAAGGAAUAUAAACUGUUAACAGUUUUGUGUAAUAGCUCUGGUGGAAGGACAUGCGAGUCUGUGCAGUUCCCAAUUCUUGUCUGCCUAGCACUGCCACGGCUGAGUUUUCCGAUUAGUGUUCCUCUAUGUGUAGAGGAUUGUGUGUGGAAAUGUAUAUUAAGUGUUUUGUCAUUUGUCACUUACUUUAUCCAAGUAAUGAUUUGUUAAUUUUUAUCAGUCUUUAGCUGUAGUAUCACAUUUUCAUUAGAUAGCACUAAUUGUACUGUACAGAAAUAAUAGAAUCAUACCUAUUAUGCUGCUUUGUGCUUACAUUUUUAGAGAUAUGAUAUUUCAUGUACCACUUCAUAGUCGUUCAAAUCAUUACCAGAGUAUGGAAGGCCAGCCAGUACCAUAAUUCUUGUGAAUGGGCAAAUACAUGCUGCUUUAAAAUGUAUGUGUGGCACAGUUAUAACCAUUUAUAUCCCAUAAACCUUUAAUCCUAAAUGGUCAUAUCCUACUAAAUCAAGUUCACAAGUUUGCUGUCUCUACUUUCAAAAACCAAAAAAUGCCAAAAAAAGGACUGAAGACCUGCAGAAUGAUGUGCUAAGACUGGCCACCCUCUACCAGACGGCCAAUGUGCCCUUGUGGUCAAGAUGAACACGGCCUGACCCAGAGAUGCUUUGUUACCCUGGUACUUGGUAGCUGGCCGCUGCUUGUCUUGUCAAGUCUUGCUAUACACAGUGAAGUUUGCUACUGUGAACAUGGAUAAUAAUUUCUGGUGGUCAUCUGUUGUUCCUGAUACUGAUUCUGUAAGAUUUUGUUUUAAUGAAGAAAUUAUUUUUCAGCAUUAUUGAAACAGGUAUAUUCAUUGUCGGUAUAUACCAUUUCUAAAUAAUUAGUUGAAAAUUGUUUCUCUUAAAAGGUGCUCCACAUGGAGAUCAAUAAAUUUUUAUCUUUUAUUUGAAUUUCUUUCUUUUAAUAAGAUGUUGAGAUUGGGUAAAGUGUCAGUUUAUGUUUUGUUUUCAUAUCAUUUGUGUAGAUUUUUUACAUUCUGAACCAUUACAUGGAACUGUUGCUUUAUAUAUUUUAUUCUGUACUGUAAGGGAGAGGACUAGUUUUCACAUGGUGUAUUCUUCUGAAAAAUAUAUUGAUACCAACUAG
RNAcentral lists this unclassified non-coding RNA (11287 nucleotides) under Penaeus chinensis. RNAcentral describes it as "spectrin beta chain-like, transcript variant X8". Lineage: Eukaryota; Metazoa; Arthropoda; Malacostraca; Decapoda; Penaeidae. The record is from RNAcentral.